Molecule: ribosomal RNA, 253 nt
Filed under: uncultured bacterium
Lineage: Bacteria
Description: partial 16S ribosomal RNA
Rfam family: Bacterial small subunit ribosomal RNA
Source: RNAcentral
UACAGAGGGUGCGAGCGUUAAUCGGAAUUACUGGGCGUAAAGCGUGCGUAGACGGUUAUUUAAGUCGGGUGUGAAAGCCCCGGGCUCAACCUGGGAAUUGCAUUCGAGACUGAAUAGCUAGGGUACGGUAGAGGGAAGCGGAAUUUCCGGUGUAGCGGUGAAAUGCGUAGAUAUCGGAAGGAACAUCAGUGGCGAAAGCGGCUUCCUGGACCAGUACCGACGUUCAGGCACGAAAGCGUAGGGAGCAAACAGG